This 799-nucleotide ribosomal RNA is filed under the name Limosilactobacillus fermentum. RNAcentral describes it as "bacterial SSU rRNA". The record is from RNAcentral. Lineage: Bacteria; Bacillati; Bacillota; Bacilli; Lactobacillales; Lactobacillaceae.
UAAUACAUGCAAGUCGAACGCGUUGGCCCAAUUGAUUGACGGUGCUUGCACCUGAUUGAUUUUGGUCGCCAACGAGUGGCGGACGGGUGAGUAACACGUAGGUAACCUGCCCAGAAGCGGGGGACAACAUUUGGAAACAGAUGCUAAUACCGCAUAACAGCGUUGUUCGCAUGAACAACGCUUAAAAGAUGGCUUCUCGCUAUCACUUCUGGAUGGACCUGCGGUGCAUUAGCUUGUUGGUGGGGUAACGGCCUACCAAGGCGAUGAUGCAUAGCCGAGUUGAGAGACUGAUCGGCCACAAUGGGACUGAGACACGGCCCAUACUCCUACGGGAGGCAGCAGUAGGGAAUCUUCCACAAUGGGCGCARSCCUGAUGGAGCAACACCGCGUGAGUGAAGAAGGGUUUCGGCUCGUAAAGCUCUGUUGUUAAAGAAGAACACGUAUGAGAGUAACUGUUCAUACGUUGACGGUAUUUAACCAGAAAGUCACGGCUAACUACGUGCCAGCAGCCGCGGUAAUACGUAGGUGGCAAGCGUUAUCCGGAUUUAUUGGGCGUAAAGAGAGUGCAGGCGGUUUUCUAAGUCUGAUGUGAAAGCCUUCGGCUUAACCGGAGAAGUGCAUCGGAAACUGGAUAACUUGAGUGCAGAAGAGGGUAGUGGAACUCCAUGUGUAGCGGUGGAAUGCGUAGAUAUAUGGAAGAACACCAGUGGCGAAGGCGGCUACCUGGUCUGCAACUGACGCUGAGACUCGAAAGCAUGGGUAGCGAACAGGAUUAGAUACCCUGGUAGUCCAUGCCGUA